RNAcentral lists this ribosomal RNA (460 nucleotides) under uncultured bacterium. Its description in RNAcentral is "partial 16S ribosomal RNA". It matches the Rfam family "Bacterial small subunit ribosomal RNA", at positions 338 to 795 of the family's 1533-position model. The record is from RNAcentral.
CCUACGGGAGGCUGCAGUGAGGAAUAUUGGUCAAUGGACGAGAGUCUGAACCAGCCAAGUAGCGUGAAGGAUGACUGCCCUAUGGGUUGUAAACUUCUUUUAUAUGGGAAUAAAACGUUCCACGUGUGGGAUUUUGUAUGUACCAUAUGAAUAAGGAUCGGCUAAAUCCGUGCCAGCAGCCGCGGUAAUACGGAGGAUCCGAGCGUUAUCCGGAUUUAUUGGGUUUAAAGGGAGCGUAGGUGGAUUGGUAAGUCAGUUGUGAAAGUUUGCGGCUCAACCGUAAAAUUGCAGUUGAAACUGGCAGUCUUGAGUACAGUAGAGGUGGGCGGAAUUCGUGGUGUAGCGGUGAAAUGCUUAGAUAUCACGAAGAACUCCGAUUGCGAAGGCAGUUCACUGGACUGCAACUGACACUGAGGCUCGAAAGUGUGGGUAUCAAACAGGAUUAGAUACCCCAGUAGUC